GUAACACGUAGUCAACAUGCCCAGGGGACGUGGAUAACCUCGGGAAACUGAGAUUAAACCGCGAUAGGUCAAGAUUUCUGGAAUGGAUCCUGGCUUAAAUCUACAUGGCCCCUGGAUUGGACUGCGGCCGAUCAGGCUGUUGGUGAGGUAAUGGCCCACCAAACCUAUAACCGGUACGGGCUCUGAGAGGAGAAGCCCGGAGAUGGGCACUGAGACAAGGGCCCAGGCCCUAUGGGGCGCAGCAGGCGCGAAAACUCUGCAAUGGGCGAAAGCCUGACAGGGUUACUCUGAGUGAUUUCCGCUAAGGAGAUCUUUUGGCAGCUCUAAAAAUGGUGCAGAAUAAGGGGUGGGCAAGUCUGGUGUCAGCCGCCGCGGUAAUACCAGCACCCCGAGUGGUCGGGACGAUUAUUGGGCCUAAAGCAUCCGUAGCCGGUUGUGCAAGUCCUCCGUUNAAUCCAGCCGCUCAACGGAUGGGGCUGCCGGAGGAUACUAACAAAAC
Molecule: ribosomal RNA, 499 nt
Filed under: uncultured archaeon
Lineage: Archaea
Description: bacterial SSU rRNA
Rfam family: Archaeal small subunit ribosomal RNA
Source: RNAcentral